Long non-coding RNA from Peromyscus californicus insignis, 517 nucleotides. RefSeq lists it as uncharacterized. The transcript has 3 exons. NCBI's taxonomy places the organism in Eukaryota, Metazoa, Chordata, Mammalia, Rodentia, Cricetidae. The record is from RefSeq and is a predicted model, not a curated record.
UGGGUCUACUCGCCGGAAGCCUUGUAGAGCUCCUUGAGGGUGCCAUGAGGCUGCUCCAGCUGGUGUACAGUCAGGUCCACAGUGCCACCCCCACAGUCUGCCACCAUGUAGCGGUCUCCUGCACCGGUCGAUACAGUUUCAUGGAGAUGAAAUGGUGCCAAUUUACAUCCCUCUCUACAAAUGUUCCCCCCAGGAUCCUCUCUAUCCAAGGAGCCCUGAGAGACCUUUGGUGAAAUUCAACUCAGCAACUCAAAAAGCAGUCUUUAAAAUCAAACAUCCUCAUGGCUGGAGAGAUGGCCCAGUGGUUAAGAGCACUCUUCCAGAGGAGCUGGGUUCAAUUCCCAGCACCCACACAUCAGUUCAUAACCAACUGAAACUUCCGUUCCAAGGGAUUCGAUGCCCUUCUGGCCUCCGGAGGUACCAGGCAUGAAAGUGGUGCACAGACAUACAUGCAGGCAAAACACCCAUAAAUAAAGUAAAAUAAAAUAAAAUAAAAUAAAAAUAAAAGUCAAAUUCU